RNAcentral lists this ribosomal RNA (217 nucleotides) under uncultured bacterium. Its description in RNAcentral is "partial 16S ribosomal RNA". It matches the Rfam family "Bacterial small subunit ribosomal RNA", at positions 1284 to 1500 of the family's 1533-position model. The record is from RNAcentral.
CAUCCCAGUUCGGAUCGCAGGCUGCAACCCGCCUGCGUGAAGUUGGAAUCGCUAGUAAUCGCGGAUCAGCAUGCCGCGGUGAAUACGUUCCCGGGCCUUGUACACACCGCCCGUCACACCAUGAGAGUCGGGAACACCCGAAGUCCGUAGCCUAACUGCAAAGGGGGCGCGGCCGAAGGUGGGUUCGAUAAUUGGGGUGAAGUCGUAACAAGGUACC